AGAAACUUAGGUUAAACCCGCCCAAACCAAGGGCCUUCAAAGCCCUAAAUAUGGGACACCAUCCCAUAGUUUCUG
RNAcentral lists this transfer RNA (75 nucleotides) under Delma hebesa. RNAcentral's name for it is "tRNA-Trp". Lineage: Eukaryota; Metazoa; Chordata; Lepidosauria; Squamata; Pygopodidae. The record is from RNAcentral.